CGGUUGAUCCUGCCGGACCUGACUGCUAUCGGAUUGAUACUAAGCCAUGCGAGUCAUUGUAGCAAUACAAGGCAUACGGCUCAGUAACGCGUAGUCAACCUAACCUAUGGACGGGAAUAACCUCGGGAAACUGAGAAUAAUGCCCGAUAGAACACUAUACCUGGAAUGGUUUGUGUUCCAAAUGAUUUAUCGCCGUAGGAUGGGACUGCGGCCUAUCAGUUUGUUGGUGAGGUAAUGGCCCACCAAGACUAUUACAGGUACGGGCUCUGAGAGGAGUAGCCCGGAGAUGGGUACUGAGACACGGACCCAGGCCCUAUGGGGCGCAGCAGGCGAGAAAACUUUGCAAUGUGCGAAAGCACGACAAGGUUAAUCCGAGUGGUUUCUGCUAAAGGAACCUUUUGUUAGUCCUAGAAACACUAACGAAUAAGGGGUGGGCAAGUUCUGGUGUCAGCCGCCGCGGUAAAACCAGCACCUCAAGUGGUCAGGAUGAUUAUUGGGCCUAAAGCAUCCGUAGCCGGCUCUGUAAGUUUUCGGUUAAAUCUGUACGCUUAACGUACAGGCUGCCG
RNAcentral lists this ribosomal RNA (566 nucleotides) under uncultured archaeon. Its description in RNAcentral is "bacterial SSU rRNA". It matches the Rfam family "Archaeal small subunit ribosomal RNA", at positions 5 to 577 of the family's 1478-position model. The record is from RNAcentral.